This 214-nucleotide ribosomal RNA is filed under the name uncultured bacterium. RNAcentral's name for it is "partial 16S ribosomal RNA". It matches the Rfam family "Bacterial small subunit ribosomal RNA", at positions 122 to 334 of the family's 1533-position model. The record is from RNAcentral.
CAAUCUACCUUUCCGACCGGGAUAACUAGCCGAAAGGUUAGCUAAUACCAGAUACGCUCAUCGAACGGCAUCGUUUGAUGAUGAAAGCAGUAAUGCGCGGAUUGAGGAGCCUGCGGCCCAUUAGCUAGUUGGUGAGGUAAUGGCCCACCAAGGCAACGAUGGGUAGCUGGUCUGAGAGGACGACCAGCCACACUGGGACUGAGACACGGCCCAG